Molecule: long non-coding RNA, 1819 nt
Filed under: Daphnia pulicaria
Lineage: Eukaryota; Metazoa; Arthropoda; Branchiopoda; Diplostraca; Daphniidae
Description: uncharacterized LOC124338519
Source: RNAcentral
GAGGCGAAGGUCAACAUUACAAGAAAAACAGAACGAUAACUUUUAGGAAACGUUCGUGGCUGCACGAAAAAUAGCACAUUAUCAAUGAACAAAACAAAUUACAAUAAUGUGGCCGUCGUGUCAAUUCAGGUCGCGUCUCUUUUAUUGAAUUGCUUAAUGGAAUAAUGCCCACUCCCCAUGCCAUAUGUAGCACUUGUAGCAGAUUUCAGGCCUGAGCCAGCCAUUGUAACAAUAUGCCAGUUGUGCUUGUGCUGCUAUUGACAGUCUGUCAGGUUGUCACUGUCAUCAGCAACAAUCUCAGUUAUUAUCGAUUGGAGAAGCAGCAUCCCGUUUGUUUAGAGAAACGAAACUACCGAUGUCGGGUAGAUUUAAGGAUCUUUUCUUCCCCUUUUUGGUAAAUCCUUUCUGUUCUCGUGUGUAUACCCAUGUGUGUUUGGGCAGGACCCCCUGUUUCCUAUGUCUUUCACCUGGAUUCGACUGUUCAGGAUGGACCACUUGUGGAUGCCUGACUGUAUUUCCCAGGCUUAAAGAUAUUUCCUCAGUAACGAUAAAGAAUGCUUGUUCUCUGUUCAACACACUGUACUCUUCCGCCACUCUUCCACCACUCUACCGCGUGACUCACGUGUAAAACCCGCGCGCGGGUUAGUCGAGCCGGGACGUCAAGGGAAGUAGGCGACGAGAGAGAUAUAAAGCUCUCUGCUCACGACCGAUCCGCCUUCAUUCUCCACCUGGAAACCGUGCGGAAGGAGCUUUUACGCAGAAACGUCGGACGCUCGCUAUCGCGGUAUAUAGCUACGUUUUAGUUUUCUCUCAGUAAAUUGAGUUUUAUCAACUACAGCGUUAAGUAUAGUCCCCGAAAAGUGCGUUUUUCUCUGUCACGGACUGUAAUUUGCGGCAACAAACUUCCCCAUUUAAAGAUUUCUUCCUGAACAAAAGGUUUCUUCUUCAGCUGUCUUGGUAAUGUCACCAAAAGUUUCCGUAUUGACGUACACUUCGUGCGCGAUGUUGAUCGCGGCACUCGUCCUGUGCGGGCCGACUUCAUCAGCAGUCGCCAAACACCCGGGCGGCAAACGGUUUGACUGCCGCCUUUUUUGCAGACUAACCGGAUACCACGGAAUGAUCGGCGGAUGUCGUUGCAGCUUCACUCUCUUCACCGCUAAGAGAUCUGAUCCCACCUGGAGUGAGGACCAGGACUUCUUAAGACAUGGAGAGUUCGGCCUCAGUGACAGCAGCAGCAGCAGCAGAAACAAAAUUCUUCCAUCGGCUAUCAGUUAUUUCCGGAUCAAACCGGCGCUGCACGAGAAAAAAUAAAAGACUGAGUAAUGAAGUCGAUGAGUGGAUCGCGACGCCGUCUCUCCCACUGCAUUCCUUAUCCUCCUACUCUAAGUCUAAGGAUUACGUACGUCAAACGAUGAAUAGCUUCAAAAGAAAGUAUACCCAAAUAACAUGGCGGCUCACGGCGUAGUUUGAGGCAAUCGAUUUCUACUUUCCGGAAACUGAAAUUCAAAUUACAAUCCUCUGCUGGGAUUCAGUCACGAUAUUCUGUUUAUGAUUUUAUGUUCAAAUUCGUCCAAACGAUCGCAUUGUAUUUAUUAACGUAUCUGACAUUCGUUCCUUCAUCUCUCACACCCUGCCCUGAUACUGAGAAACGAAAAUUCCACCACGGAUUGGAGAAUUGCAAGAGCGCAACAAAAAGAUUAUUGGUACAGAAUAUUGGAACUUUUCCCUCCCCAUUUUCGUUUAACUGUAACACGUCUAUAAUGUUUAAUUUGUCUAUAUACUACGAAUAAAUAAAACCAAUAAAUUUGAGCUGUGCAAC